CGAGCGGCGGACGGGUGAGUAACACGUGGGUAACCUGCCCAAGAGACUGGGAUAACACCUGGAAACAGAUGCUAAUACCGGAUAACAACACUAGACGCAUGUCUAGAGUUUGAAAGAUGGUUCUGCUAUCACUCUUGGAUGGACCUGCGGUGCAUUAGCUAGUUGGUAAGGUAACGGCUUACCAAGGCAAUGAUGCAUAGCCGAGUUGAGAGACUGAUCGGCCACAUUGGGACUGAGACACGGCCCAAACUCCUACGGGAGGCAGCAGUAGGGAAUCUUCCACAAUGGACGAAAGUCUGAUGGAGCAACGCCGCGUGUGUGAAGAAGGGUUUCGGCUCGUAAAGCUCUGUUGGUAGUGAAGAAAGAUAGAGGUAGUAACUGGCCUUUAUUUGACGGUAAUUACUUAGAAAGUCACGGCUAACUACGUGCCAGCAGCCGCGGUAAUACGUAGGUGGCAAGCGUUGUCCGGAUUUAUUGGGCGUAAAGCGAGUGCAGGCGGUUCAAUAAGUCUGAUGUGAAAGCCUUCGGCUCAACCGGAGAAUUGCAUCAGAAACUGUUGAACUUGAGUGCAGAAGAGGAGAGUGGAACUCCAUGUGUAGCGGUGGAAUGCGUAGAUAUAUGGAAGAACACCAGUGGCGAAGGCGGCUCUCUGGUCUGCAACUGACGCUGAGGCUCGAAAGCAUGGGUAGCGAACAGGAUUAGAUACCCUGGUAGUCCAUGCCGUAAACGAUGAGUGCUAAGUGUUGGGAGGUUUCCGCCUCUCAGUGCAGCAGCUAACGCAUUAAG
Molecule: ribosomal RNA, 786 nt
Filed under: uncultured bacterium
Lineage: Bacteria
Description: bacterial SSU rRNA
Rfam family: Bacterial small subunit ribosomal RNA
Source: RNAcentral